Molecule: non-coding RNA, 69 nt
Organism: Sphagnurus paluster
Lineage: Eukaryota; Fungi; Basidiomycota; Agaricomycetes; Agaricales; Lyophyllaceae
Source: the annotation of a GenBank genome assembly
GGCCUGAUGGUCUAGUAGUAUGAUUUUCCUAUAUCGAGGAGGUCCUGGGUUCAAUACCCAAUUAGGCCC